RNAcentral lists this ribosomal RNA (514 nucleotides) under uncultured bacterium. RNAcentral describes it as "partial 16S ribosomal RNA". It matches the Rfam family "Bacterial small subunit ribosomal RNA", at positions 355 to 885 of the family's 1533-position model. The record is from RNAcentral.
UGGGGAAUAUUGGACAAUGGGGGCAACCCUGAUCCAGCCAUGCCGCGUGAGUGAUGAAGGCCUUCGGGUUGUAAAGCUCUUUUGGCGGGGACGAUGAUGACGGUACCCGCAGAAUAAGCCCCGGCUAACUUCGUGCCAGCAGCCGCGGUAAGACGAAGGGGGCUAGCGUUGUUCGGAAUUACUGGGCGUAAAGCGAGUGUAGGCGGUUGCCGUAGUCAGGUGUGAAAGCCUUGAGCUCAACUCAAGAAAUGCACUUGAUACUGGGUGACUAGAGGACCGGAGAGGAUAGUGGAAUUCCCAGUGUAGUGGUGAAAUACGUAGAGAUUGGGAAGAACACCAGUGGCGAAGGCGGCUAUCUGGACGGUUACUGACGCUAAGACUCGAAAGCGUGGGGAGCAAAACAGGAUUAGAUACCCUGGUAGUCCACGCCGUAAAACGAUGGGUGCUAGACGUUGGCGAGCUUGCUCGUCAGUGUCGCAGCUAACGCGUUAAGCACCCCGCCUGGGGAGUACGG